UACCUAUCGUUGCCUCGGCGGACCGCCCCGGGAGGACGGGCCUUGACGGGCCCACCCGCCCCGGACCCAGGCGCCCGCCGGAGGACCAAACAACUCUUGUAUUUUAUAAAGAUCUUCUGAGUCUUCAUAUUACAAAUGAAUCAAAACUUUCAACAACGGAUCUCUUGGCUCUGGCAUCGAUGAAGAACGCAGCGAAAUGCGAUAAGUAAUGUGAAUUGCAGAAUUCAGUGAAUCAUCGAAUCUUUGAACGCACAUUGCGCCCGCGAGUAUUCUCGCGGGCAUGCCUGUUCGAGCGUCAUUUCAACCCUCAAGCCCCCGGGCUUGGUGUUGGGGAUCGGCGAGCGCGGCCUUCAAACAGCCGCGGCCGGCCCCGAAUUCUAGUGGCGGUCUCGCUUGCAGCCUCCUCUGCGUAGUAGUAACAUUCUCGCACCGGAGCGCGGGCGCGGCCACGCCGUAAAACACCCCACUUCUGAAAGGUUGACCUCGGAUCAGGUAGGAAUACCCGCUGAACUUAAGCAUAUCA
RNAcentral lists this ribosomal RNA (523 nucleotides) under Sarcopodium circinosetiferum. Its description in RNAcentral is "eukaryotic LSU rRNA". The stretch from base 145 to 298 matches the Rfam family "5.8S ribosomal RNA". The record is from RNAcentral. Lineage: Eukaryota; Fungi; Ascomycota; Sordariomycetes; Hypocreales; Nectriaceae.